This 248-nucleotide ribosomal RNA is filed under the name uncultured bacterium. RNAcentral describes it as "partial small subunit ribosomal RNA". It matches the Rfam family "Bacterial small subunit ribosomal RNA", at positions 26 to 286 of the family's 1533-position model. The record is from RNAcentral.
AGAAUCAACGCUGGCGGCGUGCCUAACACAUGCAAGUCGAACGAGAAAGUGGGAGCAAUCCCAUGAGUAAAGUGGCGCACGGGUGAGUAACACGUGACUAACCUACCCUUGAGUGGGGGAUAACCUAGGGAAACCUGGGCUAAUACCGCAUAAUACCUACGGGUCAAAGGAGCAAUUCGCUUUGGGAGGGGGUCGCGGCCGAUUAGUUAGUUGGCGGGGUAAUGGCCCACCAAGACAGUGAUCGGUAU